Molecule: long non-coding RNA, 4869 nt
Filed under: Sus scrofa (pig)
Lineage: Eukaryota; Metazoa; Chordata; Mammalia; Artiodactyla; Suidae
Description: lncRNA (ENSSSCG00000050157.1)
Source: RNAcentral
UUUUUACAGAUUGAAAGUUUGUGGCAACCCUGUGUUGUCAGGUGAUGGUUAGCAUAUUUUAGAAGCAAAGUAAUUUUUAAUUAGGGUACAUACAUUGGCUUUUUUAGACAUAAUGCUACUGCACACUUAAUAGACUAUAGUAUAAACAUAACUUUUGUGUGUAGUGGGAAACCAAAAAAAUUGUGUGACUCACGUUACUUUAUUGCAGUGGUCUGGAACCAAAGUAUGCCUGUAUAUUAUAUAAACUCUGAAUAGCUGCUGUUCACCGCGCCUCUGUUUUAGGGGCCCAGCCAGGAAUGAGGGUCAGUACCUUGGAGAGCUCCGAGGGGUUUCCAGAUAGCCGAGGCAGGCAGCGGGUUCAGCAUGAGGCAGAAGACCGCUGCUGGACGUGCUAGGCGCCAGCCCCUGUCUGCUGUGGGUACCAAUUGUGAAGUCUGCUGCCUCCUUUUAAGGUGGAGACCCCAGAGCCAAGGUGGUGGCCGGUGGGGGGCAAGGGCUCAGGAUGGAGAUUGGGCAUCUGCCCUCUCCCUGGAUGCAGUCUUCCAGGAGACACCAUUGCCCCGAGGAGUCAGUAUUGGUCCUGUCACUAGGAUGUUUGUGGUGUUUUCUGUCUUAAAGGCAGCUGGUAGCAUUUCGCCCCUAGCAGAGGUGGCUUAGUUAUUUGAGAUAAGAAGUUGAAAGGGUUGAUGCUGCCUGAAGGCGGAACCGAAGAACUGGGACAAACUCAGCGGCAGGUCUGCUAUUUUAGCCUCAUGGAUGUGCAGGUUUCUGCAGUUACUCUCUCCAUCCAGGUCUGUGGGUGGCAGGGACUGUCUGUGAGAUGCAGGGUGAAGCCAGGCUCUCCCAUGGCUGCGAUGGGCUUUUGGCUCUGCACAGUGGAGCCUGGCUAAGUUUGCUAUAAAACCUGACGGACUGCAGUUUGGGGAGAGGUGCCCACAUGCGUCUGGUGUGUGCAUGUACGGAUGGGCGAGGGGUUUGGAUCUUCCUCUUCUGGAACCAGGGGUUAAAAAAAUCAUGUGUCAGUUCAGUCCCCAGCCAGGCGUGGACCCUAGUGAGGUGGUGAUGUCAACCGGUUCUUACCCUCACGACUCCCCCACUUCUGCUUCCUCUCCCGUCUCGGUUUGCCUCCCAUUCACGGUUCCCUGGAUGUUGAUGGUCUGUCCCGUGUGAGCCGGAGGCAGGCAGGGCCCCGUGGUUACCCUAUGCCCGAGAGCCUCAGGGACAGCUCUGACCAUGGGUACUCUCGUUCUCUUCACUGAGAGUGAUUCGUUAGAUAUGUGACCGAGUGUGUUUAUUGGAUGCGUUUCUGAAGCACGUGCGUACAUCGGAAAGAUAAUCUUCAGCCAAACCACGUCUGAACUUUGCAUGUAGGAAGUAUGGUCGCUGUGGGUCCAGGACAGAGACAGAAACUCUUUUUCAUCCUCUGGGCCGGUUCAGUCCAGGGGACGAAGUGCCAGGAGAAGGGGAUAUUUAGGGGCGUCUCAGGACUCCCUGUAAAGCACAGAACCAGCCUUGUCCUGAAUCCCAAACUAAGUUUGUUACCUUGAGACCACCUUGUUUAAUGGAAAGAACCUGCUAUUCGGAGGCACACAGACUUGGCUGUAAAUCCUGAAUGUUCCACGUGCACUGUGUCACGCUAAGGAGAUGACUGAACGUCCCUGGAGCUCAGUUUAUUCUUCAGUAAAAGGGGUAAAAGCAUCGUGUCAUUGUCAUCUCAUCGGUAUACGUGUUAACUCGUGAACGCAGUUUAAGAGCCUGGGUCGGUGCCUGGCCCGGAGCAGGUGCUCCACACACAGCAGAGUCCCUGUGACAACAGCUCACAAGCCUGGAGGACCACGCCAUUUGCUGGGGACUGGCUGUUUGGAUGCACCUGUUUUAAAUGAGGGUGUCACUUGUAUUUUGGGCACUAAUUUCAUCCCACCCUCCUCCCGCCCGAAAAAGAAGGAAGAAGGUGACCUUUACUGAGUGAUUUCGGGAUUUCAGCCGAAGGGUCUGUCAUCGCUACUUAUCAGGCCCGGGAAACCAGCUCUCGUGCAGUCAUUGGAGGUGUGCAGGUUGGGACAUUUAAUUGCGGCCUGGCCUCCUGGAAUAGAAACCUUGCCACCAGGACAACCCUGUUCUGCAUCUGCCUAAGUCAACAAACUCUUGGUUCCCAGCCGGAAGUGGACAGCGACCAGGGCUUUCUCCUGCUGGAAUCUUCUGGUCUUGACGCGCCGCUCAAGCUCCUUUACAAAGGCCCCGAGUGGCGGGAGCCGGUAGCGGGGGCGGGUGGAGGGACCCCCCAGGAGGAGAAUGAGACGCGGCACCUGCUCCAGAGGUGCCUGCGCUCUGGCGGGUGAAAGCAGCAGAGACGAGCCGUCAGGGGAGGGAAGGCGGCGUCCGGCCUGGAGAGGCAGUGCGGCUCAGUGGUCGGCCCGCAGAGCUGCCUGCUGGGGCUUGGCCGCUGAUUCGGAUCCAGACCCACCACGCACAGAGGUGUGUGCCCUGGCCGUGUUACGUAGCCUCUUUGGGCCCAGUUUCUGUCUUUGGAGAAGGGAUGAGCCGCAUACUCAUCUCCAGGUUGCCCCGCAGAUUAAGCUGGAUGGUGUUAGAAGGUGCUGCGGCGGAAGUCUAGCAUGUGCUGCAAGCGCUCGAUGUUCUUACCGGGGUUAUGACUCUGGUUAUCUGGAAACGGCUUCGCUUCUGGGGUCCGUGGUCAGGGAAGACGGCAGGGAGCGCCGAGGGUCUCCUCCACAGUCGUGCCCUCGGCUGCAGCCCCCACUCCCGGAUGCCUCCGGGCCUUUGCCUCUGCUCUCGGCCCCCUUGACCUCCGGACCCAUUCCCACGCAUGCACCAUUCAAGACCCCGGCUGAGCACCGGGACCAUGGUGAAAUCCUUUUGGUCCCCGGGCUCCCCUCACAGGACCGGUCCGCCGGCUCUCGAGCCCCCCAAGCACCGUUCACCUGCGGCCUGAGCCCUUUCCACCCCCCACACCCCCGAGAUUCGGCCUCUCCAGUGUCUCCAUCCUCCGCCAGUGUCAGAGGCAGCGGGCCUGGACGUGCGUUAGGGCUCCCAACUUGUUGGACGUGAGACCUUGAGACCCUGGAGACCCCCCCCACACACACCUGCCGCUCCAUCUUUGCAAAGGGACACGGCCACCCAGUUGGGUGGAGAGAGACUGCACGUCUGGCCCAUCACCGAGUGCCUUCCCCCAACCCCACCCUGCCUCGGUCUCCCUGCCCCGGCGGGAAGUCUGGCGCCCAGAGAGACCAAACCUGCCGUUUCUGAGCGCCCUUCCCCUCCCCCUGGGCUCAGUGACCAGGCGACCUGGGGACGAUUCAUCCUGUCUUCCUUGGGGGUGGGGGAGGGGGCCGGGGGUGGUGAGCACGUCACCGUCUGGGUCCUGUCGGGUCGACUCUUCUUGGGAAAGCGGGGAAAGCGUUGAGCUGGGAACCCCCUCCCCCACCGAAAUGCCCUGGAGCCCCUUCCCCGGAGACCGGGUCGGGCCUGAGAGGCCCUGCUGGCUCCGCCUCUGUGCCUUCCCCGGGCCUGUCCCUGCCCACUCCGUGUUUCCUCAUCACGACACUGUGACAGAAGCCACCUCUCACUGGCCCCUGGCAUUUCACAUUCUCGCCCCAACCGUCCCCAUCUGACAUGUGAGGAAACAGAGGCUCCCGGAGCUGACGGUCUCUGCCCAAGGCCCGAAAGGGUCUUGGCGUCGCGGGGACUCACGCCUGGGCCUGUGGGCCCCCAACGUGGUCAGUCACCAGGACGCCCCCAGGGAGUGACGGGGGUGAGGGGAGCAGAGCAAAGGACACUCCAAGGAGAGCUUUGGGUCAUCGGUCAGAUGACCCAAACCUGGCUGGGUUUCCCGUGGUGACAGCUCCCAAGGCUGUCCACAAGAACGGGGACAUCUAUUGACAGGACAUCGUAAAUCAGCUAUAAUAAAAAAAUUUAAAAAAAUAACUGGGGAGACCCGAGGGGGCACUCUGGGGAAGGGUCGGUGGCGCAGGGGUAGAGUUGGCCCAGGGAACAGCAGUCUGAGGCCCGGAAACCUUCAGGAAUGGAAGCAGAGGGUAGGCCCCAGGGCCUUACCUGGCAGGGAGGACAGAGAGCUGCUGUGUGCCAGGCUCUGGGCCAGGAGCUGGGGACCCGGAUCACAGGAGGGCUGGGUUUCCGCCCGAGGGAGCUCGGUGGAGGGGGAGGCAGGUGCGUGGGUCCGUAUCAGCGGCGUAUGAGAGAUGUGCUACUGAGACAAACGCGUGUAAGAUGCUCUGGGGGAGCAGAGGAGGGAGUGGGCGCGGGCUCCAGAGGAUGUGGGGGGCUAGAGGAGGAUGCCCAUCGGAGCUGAAUCUUGGACGGCGGGCAGUUGUUCACCAGGCAGCCCGAGGGAAGCAGCGUGGAGCAGCCUCUAGGAGCAGGGUCAGCACUAUGGCAAAGGCAGGGAGGUGGGAAACAGAUGGGCUGGGCCCGUGGAAGGAGCCGAGUCCAGGGGGAAGUGCCAGGGUCUCCAUCCCGUGGCUCCUGGACCCCUGGAGGGUGAAGCCAAGGAGUGACUUGGAGAAACACUUAGAAGGGCACCAGAGACAUGGGCGAUGGAAACGUUGGCGGGGGGGCGCCGGGGGGCUGGGAGGUCCUGUUAUGAGGAGGAGACACGGAGAAUCCUGCGAACAGUUAUUGCCUCCUUGAAUCUGGGCAUCUAGAAAGGGGCGGGUAGCCCCAGCCACCCCUGGCUCCCCGUCCUGGGUGCUGACCGAGGAAAAAGUGAGGCAGCGGGGUGUAGGAUCCUGCAGAGGGAGGCAGGAGGACGCAGACCCGACGGAACUUGUUGAGGGCCUGCUCUGUGACAGACACUAGGCUGGUGCUUUGCCUGCCAGGAAGAUGUCUUGU